RNAcentral lists this non-coding RNA (230 nucleotides) under Triticum aestivum (bread wheat). RNAcentral describes it as "Bacterial large subunit ribosomal RNA". It matches the Rfam family "Bacterial large subunit ribosomal RNA", at positions 2656 to 2912 of the family's 2925-position model. The record is from Rfam by way of RNAcentral. Lineage: Eukaryota; Viridiplantae; Streptophyta; Magnoliopsida; Poales; Poaceae.
GGAGAACUACGAGGAGCCAGCCCUAGUACGAGAGGACUGGGCUGGGUCAACCUAUGGUGUACCGGUUGUUAUGCGAAUAGCAGCGCUGGGCAGCUAAGUUGGUAUGGAAGAACUGCUACACCGCAGGAAAUCCUUCUCUAUACAAGUUCUCGUAUGAGGUUUUUGAACUGAACUUCGAUAGGCGAGAGGUGUAAGCACCGCAAGGUGUGAAGCGAUCUCGUACUAAACGA